Molecule: long non-coding RNA, 2715 nt
Organism: Capra hircus (goat)
Lineage: Eukaryota; Metazoa; Chordata; Mammalia; Artiodactyla; Bovidae
Source: Ensembl
CCUUCUUUCCAGCCAUCUCCCCUCCUCAGAACAGCCCUCGUCCCCUGAAAGGGCAGUCUGACUCAGCCCCAGCGGCCGCCCCGCCCCUCCUACAGGUCCUCCCUUUGCCCUUGAAAUGGAAGACAAGGCAGCAAGGAUCCGGCCGCACCUCACGCAGUGCCCAGCCUGCUGGCAGCCAGAGCCCUGCAGAGCAGGACAGGCAGAACUACCACGCCCCACAGAGGGAAGACUAGCAUCCUUCAUUCCAGACAAAAGGAACUACAGAAACUUAUCAGACCACCUGAGAGCAAAGAGGCUGAUCUUCCCAUUCAAUGAUUAGCGUGGCAAGGCAGCCGUCUCCAGGGGAUUAUUGCAGCGCAGUUUCAGAAGCGUGUGCUACAGUGGCCAGUGGCAAAUCAUCGGAACCUCUGCUACUGAAACAGUUAUAGUCCUUUGAAAAUAGUUUAUCACAAGAAGUCUAUCUUACAGAAAAAUUCCAAAUACUGUAUGUUGGCACACUGGCUCUGGAGGUUGUUGCUGGAUCUUCCUCACCUUGAGUGUGAUCUGGACAGACUGAACUCCUUGCCAACAACAGAGUCUGGGAAAGGAAGCUGAGCAACUUAUAGUGGACAUACCUGGCAAUGUCACCUGAACUGCAUGAUCAAGGUCAACUUCACCAGCAAUGCCAUAGGGCUUCUAUAAACCCCGUGGUGAGAAGCAGUUGAAAAGUACCUCAACUUUGUGAUCUAUUUCUGCAAAACCCAUAACUCCAGUCUAAUGGUGGGAAGACAUCAGAGAGACACCAAACACUUCAGCAUUCUUCAAAACUCUCUACUUCCCAAGAACAAGGAGAAACCAAGAAAUGUACUCAUUGAAUGAGACAAGAGGACCAAGGCAAUGUAUGAUCCUGGACUGGGUCGUGGAACAGAAAAUGAACAGUAGUAAAAAGACUGGGAAAAUUCAGAUACGAUCUGCAGUUAACAGUUUUGUGUGAAUAUUAUUUGUUUUCUUCUUGAUGUGCUCAGUUGUGUCAGACUCUUUAUGACCCCAUGAACUUAGCCUGCCAGGUUCCUCUGUCCACGGAAAUUUCCAGACAAGAAUACUGGAGUGGGUUGCCAUUUCCUUCUCAAGAGGAUCUUCCCACCCUAAGGAUUGAAUCUGUGUCUCAUAAAUCUCUUGCAUUGAUGGGUGGAUUCUUUACAAUUGACCCACCAUAUCCUGCCUUAUUAUUUGUUUAGUUUUGCCAAAUCUGACAUUAUUGCAUAAUACAUUAAAUCAGAAGAAUCUCUUGAAGGGUAUACCGAAAGUCCUUGUACUAUCACUGCAACAAUUUUUUCUAAAUCUAAAUUUAUUCUGUAAUAAAACAAAAAAAUAUUAUGUCACAUAAGUAGCUUAUACUAAUUGAAAUAAUGAGUAAAACAACCAACUUUGGUGUUUAAGGAUAAAUUAUAAAGUUCUUUCCAAUUGCCUUGUCCAAUUUAAACCAGUUUUGGUCAUGUAUUAAUUUAGUAUGCUUAAGCAAUUUAAAAAUAUAACAAUGGCAACCUAAGACACAGACUGGAACAAAUAUUAUUUGAUUCAGAGAUUAACACAAGGAAAAAUAACAAAAUUUUAAUGCCUCCAGACACACCUUACUGAAAGUAUUCCAGGAUUUUGGUUUUAUUAAAUUGAGUGGGAAGACAAAGGAAUUUUAUUACAUGUUUGAUAAAACAUCCAAGAGGCUUCAGAUUUCUUUUUCUUGUGCUCUUUCGUGAUGAUCACCAGAAUAUUGCAAAAUUAAACACAAACCCAACAAUGUGAAGAAUGCUGAGUGAGACUAACCACAAGCUACAUGAAAGAGACAAUUAAUCCAUUGAACACAGAACUCACUUUUUUUUUUUCUGUUCUCUUCUUUAAUUGACUGUUUUAGUCACUUGUGGUUCUCACUGAAAAGGUCCAAUGCCUGUGGCCAGCAGUCAUCCCUUUAGACAGCCUUCCAGAUGCCACCCUCAGCCAACAGGGAAACUUGAGAAGCAGCCCACAUAAACCUCUUGUUCUAAUGCAGAAAUCCCAGCCAUUGUUUUGUUAGGAACCCAAGGCCAGUCUCUUUCAGUGCAUAAAGGGACUUAACUAACCGAUGUCCAUCUGGACCUUGCAUUUUAUUUCAGUCUUACAAUCCCGGGUAGCUGCUCUUUGAUCUCUCUUUAGAUUGAUCUUCCUCAUCCUAUAGAGUGGGUUAGGGCUGGGAAGGUUGCCACUUGUUUUUACAGAUAAAAAUACUUAACAUGUGUCAUUGAUUCUAACCUCCAUAUUGUGAGGAACAGUCAACCCAGUCCUGCCUUUUGUAAACUUCCCUGGAUCAAAAAAUUACUGAUAACAUAACCAUGGACUGUAGCCCAGCAAGCCCCUCUAUCCAUGGAAUUCUCCAGACAAGAAUAUUGGAAUGGGUUGCCAUUUCCUUCUUCAGGUGUCUUUUUGACCCAGGGUUCGAAUCGGUGUCUCCUGAAUUGCAGGCAGAUUGUUUACCAUCUGAGCUUCCAGGGAAGACUCCACCUAAUCAUAUAAGGUACUAAAUAUGAGGAAUAAAAUCCACAAUUCCAUGGACUUAAAUUUCUUUCUCUCGUUAUCUUUUUUUUAAGCCAUAUUGAAGUGUAACUGACGUAUAAAGCUGUUCUCAAAGUGUGCGCUCUGGUGACCUCAUAUAGGUGUACUCUGUGAAAGGAUCCUCACCGUCUUCAUAGUCAAUUAACACACCUC